GGUCGGGCAGGGACGAAAGUCGGGCUUAGUGAUCCGGCGGAUCCGAAUGGAAGGGCCGUCGCUCAACGGAUAAAAGCUACCCUGGGGAUAACAGGCUGAUCUCCCCCAAGAGUUCACAUCGACGGAGUGGUUUGGCACCUCGAUGUCGGCUCAUCGCAUCCUGGGGCUGUAGCAGGUCCCAAGGGUUGGGCUGUUCGCCCAUUAAAGCGGUACGCGAGCUGGGUUCAGAACGUCGUGAGACAGUUCGGUCCCUAUCCGGCGCAGGCGGAGGAUAUUUGAGAGGAGCUGUCCUUAGUACGAGAGGACCGGGAUGGACGGACCACUGGUGUAUCUGUUGGCUAUCAGAGCCAUGGCAGAGUA
Molecule: ribosomal RNA, 360 nt
Filed under: Escherichia coli
Lineage: Bacteria; Pseudomonadati; Pseudomonadota; Gammaproteobacteria; Enterobacterales; Enterobacteriaceae
Description: partial 23S ribosomal RNA
Rfam family: Bacterial large subunit ribosomal RNA
Source: RNAcentral